Molecule: ribosomal RNA, 253 nt
Filed under: uncultured bacterium
Lineage: Bacteria
Description: partial 16S ribosomal RNA
Rfam family: Bacterial small subunit ribosomal RNA
Source: RNAcentral
AACGUAGGACACAAGCGUUAUCCGGAGUUACUGGGCGUAAAGGGCGCGUAGGCGGGCUGACAAGUCUGGGGUGAAAUGCCGCGGCUCAACCGUGGAACUGCCUCAGAUACUGUCGGCCUCGAGGAAGGUAGGGGCAUGCGGAACUGUAGGUGGAGCGGUGAAAUGCGUUGAUAUCUACAGGAACUCCGGUGGCGAAAGCGGCGUGCUGGACCUUUUCUGACGCUGAGGCGCGAAAGCUAGGGGAGCAAACGGG